GAUGAACGCUGGCGGCGUGCCUAAUACAUGCAAGUCGAGCGAACCACUUCGGUGGGAAGCGGCGAACGGGUGAGUAACACGUAGGUGAUCUGCCCAUCAGACGGGGACAACGAUUGGAAACGAUCGCUAAUACCGGAUAGGACGAAAGUUUAAAGAUGCUCCUGGCAUCACUGAUGGAUGAGCCUGCGGCGCAUUAGCUAGUUGGUGGGGUAAAGGCCUACCAAGGCGACGAUGCGUAGCCGACCUGAGAGGGUGAACGGCCACACUGGGACUGAGACACGGCCCAG
Molecule: ribosomal RNA, 287 nt
Filed under: uncultured bacterium
Lineage: Bacteria
Description: partial 16S ribosomal RNA
Rfam family: Bacterial small subunit ribosomal RNA
Source: RNAcentral